CACUAAUUAAUUUACUAAAAUACCUGUUUUGGAUACAGACUACAAACCCAUAAUUAC
Molecule: transfer RNA, 57 nt
Filed under: Parachtes teruelis
Lineage: Eukaryota; Metazoa; Arthropoda; Arachnida; Araneae; Dysderidae
Description: tRNA-Pro
Source: RNAcentral